UACGGAGGGGGCUAGCGUUGCUCGGAAUUACUGGGCGUAAAGGGCGCGUAGGCGGAUGUUUAAGUCGGGGGGUGAAAGCCCAGGGCUCAACCCUGGAAUUGCCUUCGAUACUGGACAUCUUGAGUGCGGGAGAGGUGAGUGGAACUCCGAGUGUAGAGGUGAAAUUCGUAGAUAUUCGGAAGAACACCAGUGGCGAAAGGCGACUCACUGGCCCGUUACUGACGCUGAUGCGCGAAAGCGUGGGGAGCAAACAGG
Molecule: ribosomal RNA, 255 nt
Filed under: uncultured bacterium
Lineage: Bacteria
Description: partial 16S ribosomal RNA
Rfam family: Bacterial small subunit ribosomal RNA
Source: RNAcentral